ACUCGGAAAGGCCCCGGGGCGCACCGCGGAGACCCCGCAGACGGUGCCCCCUUCCCGGCCCUAGUUGCAAAAACACUCCUGCCCCGACUCCCCUACUAUUUUAGGCUACCCCCCUUCUUUUUAGGAGCGCCACCCUUACGGAAAUUCCCUCCAGCGGAACCGGACGGAAGUUUCCCCUCCUGCAAACCCCACAGACGAGCAGAUCCGGCCCGGGUUGGUUCACACUCCGCACGGGCGCUCGGCUCAUGGAGGGUCCGAACCCGGGUGAAAGAUUCUCCCAGGAACCGAGAGACAAGCAGCCUCGGCGAUUCACACCCGCUGCCUAUCCCCCCCCACCCCACCAACCCCGCUCCUUCCCACCCCGAUGGAUCCCGCGAUCACCCGCCUUUGAUCCACAAAGGCUCCGGGCGCGCGCAACGAUCGUUGCCAAAGCCCACGAACCUUGCCUCGCAAAGUUCGGCCCGGGAGAUCGAGGAACGAACAAGCGAUUCCUCCGCCGUCGGAAUUUGUGUUAAAAUCACAGAACUCAAAUAACUCUCUUUGCUUGGGACUCUAUUUAAAAGGAAAGUCCGGGCGAGGAUUUUCUCCCGUCCGGCUCCACAAAUUCAGAGAGAGAGAGAACAAACGGACUUCUAGUCCAAGCCAGGGCGAGAGAUGAGGGUGGGGCUCCCCAAGGGAUCGCGGACCGACGCGAGGGAAGCGGGGCGCAACUCUGGAGGGACGCAGCGACGGCGUGGAAUUUGCCAAUGGAACACCACACGGCAAUUGUUGGCUGAGCGGUUGGGCAGGAUGGAGAUGAAAUGGCUUCCAGGAGAGCUUUCCUGACUCUUGUCUCUUCAGCAGCUGGAACAGGGAUGAGAUGAUAGCUGGUGAUGUAAGAGGAUUCCAGAGCAAUGAGAAAAUGAAUGGUGGAGCUGGCCCAAGACAUUUUGAUGCCUGAAGUGAAGCACCAAAUGAUACCCUCCCUAUGCUAGGGGGGUGGUGGACAAAAUGUAAACAGUCUUGUUGCACUAGUUCAGAUGUAGCUUCUUGACUUUAUGUAUUCCCCUAAAUUCUGGCUCCUGAAACAGAAUGCUUCACCAUAGCAGAACUGACACAGUGGGAUAUGAAGAAGUUUCAUCAAAUGUGAUCAAAGGCUCAUCUGACAACCCCCUUUCAACAAUAAAAUAUGGACACAAUCGAAAGCGUUUGAUAUAUGGUUUUAAAUCUAAGGCUAUUACAUAUUUCUUCAGUCAUGAGUUGCGCUAGCCACUGCCAGAGGUUGGAUACUGGGUUUCGGGGCAGCUUUAUGACAUUUGGCAUAUCAGACAAGAAAUGUAUUUGGGAGUUUCUGGGCUGUCAGAGUUCCUAAGAUAUUGCACCCUAUUUUGUGUACGUGUGUGUGUUUCCUAUUGCCAAAAAUUCCUCUAGCCAACUUGCUCUUCCAAUGUGGUUUCUUUUAGCUGUCUACUUUAUUCCAAAGUCCCUUCACUACCAGAGAGUUUAUUUUGCUGAAAGCAUCCAAAUGUAUAAGAAUAAUUAAAGCACCUUUGUUUUGAUGGCUCUCAGGGACAUUUUUCUUAAUGAAUAAAAGUGUCCAAAGCUGGCAAUCAAGAGGAAAGGUAGUGAAACAAUGACCAGGGACUGUUGCUGGUUUAUUGGCAAGAAAGCUGCUAGCUCAAGGUAGUUUCAGCAGCAACAAACUGUCAUCAGGAGAUCAAAGAUGAUGGUGAUGAGGAUGAAUGCUGUUCAACCGACUAUUAUGGGGAAUUAUUAUUUCUGAUGAUUCCUUCCUUUUAAACACUCUGCUUCUGCUAUCCUGAGCACAGCACUAACUAUAUGGGCAAUUCAUCCAAUAACCUCAUUGGUAGAGCAUCUGACGCAGGGAAAAAUACGUAUAAGCCGGCUCACCCUUUUCGUGAGGCGGCA
This is a long non-coding RNA of Podarcis raffonei (Aeolian wall lizard), 1908 nucleotides long. RefSeq lists it as uncharacterized. Lineage: Eukaryota; Metazoa; Chordata; Lepidosauria; Squamata; Lacertidae. The record is from RefSeq and is a predicted model, not a curated record. The transcript has 4 exons.